CCUACGGGAGGCUGCAGUGGGGAAUAUUGGACAAUGGGGGCAACCCUGAUCCAGUCAUGCCGCGUGUGUGAAGAAGGCCCUCGGGUUGUAAAGCACUUUCAGUGAGGAAGAACGCCUGGUGGUUAAUACCCAUCAGGAAAGACAUCACUCACAGAAGAAGCACCGGCUAACUCCGUGCCAGCAGCCGCGGUAAUACGGAGGGUGCGAGCGUUAAUCGGAAUUACUGGGCGUAAAGCGCGCGUAGGUGGCUUGAUAAGCCGGUUGUGAAAGCCCCGGGCUCAACCUGGGAACGGCAUCCGGAACUGUCAAGCUAGAGUGCAGGAGAGGAAGGUAGAAUUCCCGGUGUAGCGGUGAAAUGCGUAGAGAUCGGGAGGAAUACCAGUGGCGAAGGCGGCCUUCUGGACUGACACUGACACUGAGGUGCGAAAGCGUGGGUAGCAAACAGGAUUAGAUACCCCAGUAGUC
This 465-nucleotide ribosomal RNA is filed under the name Vreelandella stevensii. RNAcentral describes it as "partial 16S ribosomal RNA". It matches the Rfam family "Bacterial small subunit ribosomal RNA", at positions 338 to 795 of the family's 1533-position model. Lineage: Bacteria; Pseudomonadati; Pseudomonadota; Gammaproteobacteria; Oceanospirillales; Halomonadaceae. The record is from RNAcentral.